RNAcentral lists this ribosomal RNA (782 nucleotides) under Streptomyces sp. 214(2010). Its description in RNAcentral is "bacterial SSU rRNA". It matches the Rfam family "Bacterial small subunit ribosomal RNA", at positions 54 to 849 of the family's 1533-position model. Lineage: Bacteria; Bacillati; Actinomycetota; Actinomycetes; Kitasatosporales; Streptomycetaceae. The record is from RNAcentral.
CAUGCAGUCGAACGAUGAACCACAUUUCCGGUGGGGAUUAGUGGCGAACGGGUGAGUAACACGUGGGCAAUCUGCCCUGCACUCUGGGACAAGCCCUGGAAACGGGGUCUAAUACCGGAUACUGACCCGCUUGGGCAUCCAAGCGGUUCGAAAGCUCCGGCGGUGCAGGAUGAGCCCGCGGCCUAUCAGCUUGUUGGUGAGGUAAUGGCUCACCAAGGCGACGACGGGUAGCCGGCCUGAGAGGGCGACCGGCCACACUGGGACUGAGACACGGCCCAGACUCCUACGGGAGGCAGCAGUGGGGAAUAUUGCACAAUGGGCGAAAGCCUGAUGCAGCGACGCCGCGUGAGGGAUGACGGCCUUCGGGUUGUAAACCUCUUUCAGCAGGGAAGAAGCGAAAGUGACGGUACCUGCAGAAGAAGCGCCGGCUAACUACGUGCCAGCAGCCGCGGUAAUACGUAGGGCGCGAGCGUUGUCCGGAAUUAUUGGGCGUAAAGAGCUCGUAGGCGGCUUGUCACGUCGGUUGUGAAAGCCCGGGGCUUAACCCCGGGUCUGCAGUCGAUACGGGCAGGCUAGAGUUCGGUAGGGGAGAUCGGAAUUCCUGGUGUAGCGGUGAAAUGCGCAGAUAUCAUGAGGAACACCGGUGGCGAAGGCGGAUCUCUGGGCCGAUACUGACGCUGAGGAGCGAAAGCCUGUGGGAGCGAACAGGGAUUACAUACCCUGGUAGUCCACGCCCGUAAACGGAGGGCACUAGGGUGCGGGGAUUUUCCCCGUUGGUCCGU